RNAcentral lists this ribosomal RNA (452 nucleotides) under uncultured organism. RNAcentral describes it as "bacterial SSU rRNA". It matches the Rfam family "Bacterial small subunit ribosomal RNA", at positions 346 to 794 of the family's 1533-position model. The record is from RNAcentral.
GUGCAGCAAGCGAGAAUUUUCCCAAUGGGGGCAACCCUGAAGGAGCGACGCCGCGUGGAGGAUGAAGGCUUUCGGGUUGUAAACUCCUGUCAUUUGAGAACAAGUGUGAGCAAGUAACUACUGCUCAUCUGAUAGUAUCAGAAGAGGAAGGGACGGCUAACUCUGUGCCAGCAGCCGCGGUAAUACAGAGGUCCCAAGCGUUGUUCGGAUUCAUUGGGCGUAAAGGGUGCGUAGGUGGCGCCGUAAGUGGGGUGUGAAAUUUCGGAGCUUAACUCCGAAACUGCAUUCCAUACUGCGGUGCUUGAGGACUGGAGAGGAGACUGGAAUUCAUGGUGUAGCAGUGAGAUGCGUAGAGAUCAUGAGGAAGACCAGUGCGAAGGCGGUCUCUGGACAGUUCCUGACACUGAGGCACGAAGGCUAGGGGAGCAAACGGGAUUAGAUACCCGCGUAGU